AGAAUCAACGCUGGCGGCGUGCCUAACACAUGCAAGUCGAACGAGAAAGUGGAGCAAUCCAUGAGUAAAGUGGCGCACGGGUGAGUAACACGUGACUAACCUACCCUCGAGUGGGGAAUAACCUCGGGAAACCGGGCUAACACCGCAUAACAUCUACGGAUCAAAUGCGGUAAGCAGCUUGAGGAGGGGGUCGCGGCUGAUUAGCUAGUUGGCGGGGUAACGGCCCACCAAGGCGAAGAUCGGUA
Molecule: ribosomal RNA, 245 nt
Filed under: uncultured bacterium
Lineage: Bacteria
Description: partial small subunit ribosomal RNA
Rfam family: Bacterial small subunit ribosomal RNA
Source: RNAcentral